RNAcentral lists this long non-coding RNA (250 nucleotides) under Homo sapiens (human). RNAcentral's name for it is "non-protein coding lnc-MYBBP1A-1:2". The record is from RNAcentral. Lineage: Eukaryota; Metazoa; Chordata; Mammalia; Primates; Hominidae.
GCAGGGCUGGAGCUGCCCCAGGCUCUGGCAUCAUCCCCGAGGGCUGGAGCUCACUCCCCGCUAGAGGCUUUUCCGGACCCCACGUCCACAGGCAGGUGCAUCUGGUGAAGCUUUCGGCCACAGUUGGAGUGCAGUGGUGCCAUCUCCCUUCACGACGAACUCCACCCCCCAUCCCCAGGAUCAAGCGAUCCUCCCACCUCAGCCUCCCAGAGCUGGGACCACAGAUGCGUGCCACCACGCCCAGGUAUGU